Molecule: RNA transcript, 1398 nt
Organism: Octodon degus (degu)
Lineage: Eukaryota; Metazoa; Chordata; Mammalia; Rodentia; Octodontidae
Gene name: eukaryotic translation initiation factor 5 pseudogene
Exons: 1
Source: RefSeq, a predicted model, not a curated record
UUUCAUGUCAGAGACCGAGAACUCUUGCAGUCGUUUAUGUCAUCCCUUCUUCUCCAGACAGAAUAUACCAAAAAGUUGCAAUCAAAGAUCUCUUCAUCUUAUUGAUAAAGUCACUAAUAAGCCAAAAUGUCUGUCAACAUCAACUGCAGCGUUUCAGACCAGUUCUAUCGCUACAAGAUGCACCGUCUGAUUGCCAAGGUUGAAGGCAAAGGAAAUGGAAUCAAGACAGUUGUAGUCAACACGGUUGACGUUGCAAAGGCGCUUAAUCGGCCUCCAACUAUCCCACCAAAUACUUUGGUUGUGAGCUGGGAGCACAGACCCAGUUUGAUGUAAAGACUGACCGGUACAUUGUCAUUGGAUGAUCUCAUGAGGUGAAUAAGGUGCAAGACAUGUUGGAUGGAUUCAUUAAAAAUUUUGUUCUCUGUCCCUGAGUGUGAGAAUCCUGAAACAGAUGUGCAUGUGAAUCCGAAGAAACAAACAAUAGGUAAUUCUUGUAAAGCCUGAGGCUAAAGAGGCAUGCUUGACACACAUCAUGAACUCUGCACAUUCAUUCUCGAAAAUCCACCUGAGAAUAGUGACAGUAGUACAGGAAGGAAGAAAAGGAAACGAAAAACAGAAAAGGCGAAGACAAGGCAAAUGGCUCAGUGUCCAGCAGUGAGACCCCACCCCCGCUACCCCUAAGUGAAAUGAGCCCGCCCCUCGGGCUGUGGAGGAGGAGGAGGACGAUGACCCGGGUGAGGACACAACUGAGAAGGCGCAAUGGCGGCGCAGGAUGAAAUCAGUGACCACGCCAAAGUCGUGACGCUCAGUGACGAUCUGGAAAGAAUUGUAGAAGAGCGUGUGAAUAUCCUGUUUGAUUUUGUUAAGAAAAAGAAAGAAGAGGGCAUUAUUGACUCAUUUGACAAAGAAAUUGUUGCUGAAGCAGAAAGACUAGAUGUAAAAGCCAUGGGCCCUCCUGUUCUGGCUGAAGUUCUUUUUAAUGAGAAGAUUAGAGAACAAAUUAAGAAAUACAGGUGUCAUUUCCUCAGCGGUGCCUUCUUCAUGGUUUGGCGUGUGUGGUGGCCGUGCAUCAGGCUCGCCUCCUCUCCAAGAUCCCGCACAUCUCGGAGGAGAUGUAUGAGGCAGACCUGUUGGAAGAGGAGGUUGUCAUCAGCUGGUCAGAAAAGGCCUCUAAGAAGUCCGUUUCGAAAGAACUUGCCAAAGAGAUUCGUGUCAAAGCGGAGCCAUUUAUAAAAUGGCUGAAGGAGGCAGAGGAAGACUCUUCCGGUGGUGAAGAUGAGGAGGAGGAGGAGGAUGAAAACUCUGAGGUGGUUCAUUCAAAAACUGCCAGCAUGGGGAAGGCUGAAACUGUGAAGUCGGAAAACAAGGAUGACGACAUUGAUAUCGAUGCUAUUUAAG